GGUCUCAGCCAACCUUAGAAUGGGCGGAAUUGCGAGAAGCAACUUUGUGGUGCCACAUGUUUUGAUGAUUAUCUUGUAAGAAUAAACAAAGAGGCUCGACUCGGAGAGGACAUAGGAGUCAACAUCAGCAUUUGAUAGGUUAUCAACAAUUGUGCACUCAGCAGGUCCGAGAAUUUCAUCCAAUUGUGCCUUCGAGAGAGAUCGAAGUCCUUUUCCGUUAGGAUCAGCAAACAAACCAGGCUCGGCAAAAGAAAUUUCGAGCCUCUUUUCAAAACCUUCAAAACCAAUGGCAGAAACUGGCAAGUCCAUUUCCAUUAUGAAAGAUGUUCACAGCAGCAAAGAAAGUUAAAGCAGAAAUGUUGAGAGCAAUGAGCGCAAAAGCAGGAAAGAAGUAAAGGAAGGAAGAAAAGGAGUGAGGGCUUGACAACGAAAGAAAAUGAAAGCAGAAAUUUUUUUUGUUUUUUUUUCAGCUGCGUCUAUUGACGCCUUAAACGAUGGAAGAUUAGGGAAUAUCAGGAUGGUUUGCGCGCGCACUGCAUACAAAG
Molecule: long non-coding RNA, 545 nt
Filed under: Capsicum annuum
Lineage: Eukaryota; Viridiplantae; Streptophyta; Magnoliopsida; Solanales; Solanaceae
Description: long non-coding RNA (CANN_LNC018174)
Source: RNAcentral